UAGAGUUUGAUCCUGGCUCAGAACGUACGCUGGCGGCACGCCUAACACAUGCAAGUCGAACGAAGUAGCAAUACUUAGUGGCAGACGGGUGAGUAACAUGUAGGUAUCUGCCCUUUGGCCUGGAAUAACACGAGGAAACUUGUGCUAAUACCGGAUAAGUCUUUACGGAGAAAGCUUUAUGCACCAUUGGAUGAGCCUGCACUUGAUUAGUUUGUUGGUGGGGUAAUGGCCUACCAAGACUGUGAUCAAUAGCUGAUUUGAGAGGAUGAUCAGCCACAUUGGGACUGAGACACGGCCCAAACUCCUACGGGAGGCAGCAGUGGGGAAUCUUGCACAAUGGAGGAAACUCUGAUGCAGCGAUGCCGCGUGAGUGAAGAAGGCCCUUGGGUUGUAAAGCUCUUUCGUCGGGAAAGAAAAUGACUGUACCCGAAUAAGAAGGUCCGGCUAACUUCGUGCCAGCAGCCGCGGUAAUACGAAGGGACCUAGCGUAGUUCGGAAUUACUGGGCUUAAAGAGUUCGUAGGUGGUUGAAAAAGUUAGUGGUGAAAUCCCAGAGCUUAACUCUGGAACUGCCAUUAAAACUUUUCAGCUAGAGUAUGAUAGAGGAAAGCAGAAUUUCUAGUGUAGAGGUGAAAUUCGUAGAUAUUAGAAAGAAUACCAAUUGCGAAGGCAGCUUUCUGGAUCAUUACUGACACUGAGGAACGAAAGCAUGGGUAGCGAAGAGGAUUAGAUACCCUCGUAGUCCAUGCCGUAAACGAUGUGUGUUAGACGUUGGAAAUUUAUUUUCAGUGUCGCAGGGAUACCGAUAAACACACCGCCUGGGGAGUACGACCGCAAGGUUAAAACUCAAAUGAAUUGACGGGGACCCGCACAAGUAGUGGAGCAUGUGGUUUAAUUCGAAGAUACGCGCAGAACCUUACCAACACUUGACAUGUUCGUCGCGACUCUAAGAGAUUAGAGUUUUCGGUUCGGCCGGACGAAACACAGGUGCUGCAUGGCUGUCGUCAGCUCGUGUCGUGAGAUGUUGGGUUAAGUCCCGCAACGAGCGCAACCCUCACUUUUAGUUGCCAUCAUUAAGUUGGGCACUCUGAAGGAACUGCCAGUGAUAAGCUGGAGGAAGGUGGGGAUGACGUCAAGUCCUCAUGGCCCUUACGUGUUGGGCUACACACGUGCUACAAUGGUAUCUACAACAGGAAGCAAGACUGCGAAGUUAAGCAAAUCCCUAAAAGAUACCUCAGUUCGGAUUGCACUCUGCAACUCGAGUGCAUGAAGCUGGAAUUACUAGUAAUCGUGGAUCAGCGUGCCACGGUGAAUGCGUUCCCGGGUCUUGUACACACCGCCCGUCACACCAUGGGAGUUGGUUCUACCUUAAGGCAAGGUUUCAAACCCUUGACCACGGUAUAGUCAGCGACUGGGGUGAAGUCGUAACAAGGUAACCA
RNAcentral lists this ribosomal RNA (1438 nucleotides) under uncultured bacterium. Its description in RNAcentral is "bacterial SSU rRNA". It matches the Rfam family "Bacterial small subunit ribosomal RNA". The record is from RNAcentral.